UCAGAUACAGUAGAUUGGAUCAACCAUGGGAGCGAAAAAUUACCUAACAAGAUGGGAGUGGCCACACACCUGUCAGACCUGUUCCUGAUACAUGACUCCAGCAGGAUUCUCCUAUGCGUUAGUCCUUUGUUCAACCUGUGUUUGUCAAGCUAAAUGAGGAUGGCAGAAACACCGAACCCGGCCACUACCUCCUUUCCAGCACCAACUAUUUCUCUACCCCUUGGAAUGGAAGUAUUGAGGACAUAUUCAGGGGGCCUGAUUUGUUUGGAAAUUGUGUUUGGAGGGUUGGUGUGGAUAUUAGUAGCAUCGACGAAUGUGUCAGUGCCAUUGUUGCAGGGUUGGGUGAUGUUUGUGUCAGUAACCAUGUUCAUCUGUUCGUCUGUAUAUCUUGCCCUGUUUCUGCUGGGCCUGGCAGACAAGAUUAACACUGACUGGAAUUUCAUGGACAUGUUCUAUCAUUUCAUCGCUUUGCUGUUUUAUUUUGGUGCAUUUUUGCUGGAGGCUACAGUUUCAUCUGCGGGUAUAUAUACAAACAGCACCUGUAUACGCAGACCCCGUGGCAAUAUAAUAACAUUUCUGGACUAUAGAGAGUAUAACAUUAAUGCUGCUGCUGCGGUGAGUUGUUAACUACCUUUCUUUUCACUUGGUUUUUCAGUGAUUGUAAUUUUCAGAUUCAAGAACAAUUGGAGAUUUUUCUUGCACUUCCUACAACAGUUUUUCUGUUAUUUGGUAUAUACAAAGAACACACUGAACACAUAAUUAGUAA
Sinocyclocheilus grahami is the source of this 766-nucleotide long non-coding RNA. RefSeq lists it as uncharacterized. Lineage: Eukaryota; Metazoa; Chordata; Actinopteri; Cypriniformes; Cyprinidae. The transcript has 3 exons. The record is from RefSeq and is a predicted model, not a curated record.